GCAAUACCCUCUUCUCUGUCAUGCCUAUUCUUUAUCCAUCUAAAAAAUACCCUAGCAGCAGCCAUCGUCGUAGGCCUCCGCCGCCAGCCAAGAACGGAGCGCCGGCCGCCAGCUCCCUGCUCUCCGCCUCCCUGGAACGUCGGAUCUUGCCACCAUUCCAAACUCGCCGGCUCUCCCCACCCCCAAGGUCACAUCUCUCCCAUGGCUCCCCUCCAACCCUGAGUUCCUCGCAUAGGGCACGGACUGAAUCCGGCGUGUGGAUCCAAGGCAUGCCGCCCCUCCUCCGACUAGCCAACCAUGGUGGCGUGGUUCCUCAUGCGGUCCUCCUCCGACCAGCCAAUCAUAGCGGCGUGGUUCGUCUGACUUGCGCAGGGGCUCUUCUCUCCCAUCGGUCGGCGCCUCGACUUCGAAUCCUACAGCCGGCACCUCGACUUCAGCUUGCACAGACCAGCAUCCUUUGUUGCCAGAUCUUAACCACACCGAGUUCCUCCGGUCGUCGUCGUGAACCUCCAAGCAGAUAAGCCAACCUUCAUGUGUACUUCCCGUUAUAUCUCCACACUCUAUUCCUCGCUGUUUUGUUUUUCAGGAAGAAGGUGGAUUAGUGGCUAUUUCCAGUAUGUAGAUGGGAUGGCAAUAGCUCUUCCUUGGUUGAAGGAUGCAAUGCAUCUCGCUGAAUUCCAAGCUGUAUUAUUUUGGGUCUACCUAGAUACCCAAGCAGGGGAGAUAAAGGCUGCAAGUUGGGUGGAAAGCUAGGGAGACAAUUCUCGUGUGUAUUCAUAGGUUUAGGUGGUCGUGAAGGGCGACUAAAAGAAGUCCAUCAUCAAAUCAAGUUUUUGGAAAUUUGGGGACUGAAAUCAGAUCAAGAUGCAUUUGCCUGAAUAUAAAAUAUAAGGCAAAAAAGCCAAUAUAAAGAGAAGGAGAAAAAAACUGUUCCAAAGGAUAUAGCUACACUUCACAGCACUGGGAUUGUGGAUGUUGAUACAAAUUGGAUGUGCUUCUGUGUAGUCCCAAGUCAAGCAAUUUCUCACUAAUGUGUCACGCGAAGAUUUUUUUCCAAAAGGCAAAGAUUCAUAGCUAGCAGUUUAUCAGCUGAUGACUCUUGCUUUGUUGAUUGUUGUGCUUAAUCAAUAUCCUUACAGGUUUGUGGGGGAGAUGUCCCAUGACAACACAAUCCAGUGCAUAAUUGCUUUAGCAGCCGGAAAAAGAGUCAAGAUGCAGCGAUGCAGUGUCAAGUGAGCAAUGGCAUGUCAUGAGCAAUUGCGGGGCCAGAUGUGAGCGCCACUGCUGUCCCACAAUGAACAAGUUAUUCUGCUGUUUAUGAUCAAGGCAUUGUUUGAUAAGGAAACCCAUUUGCUUCUGAACUAAUCCACGUGGCAACUUCCAUGGUUCAUCUAAUAUAAUUUUGAAAGCAAUCUGAUACGACCUCAA
Triticum aestivum (bread wheat) is the source of this 1428-nucleotide long non-coding RNA. RefSeq lists it as uncharacterized. Lineage: Eukaryota; Viridiplantae; Streptophyta; Magnoliopsida; Poales; Poaceae. The record is from RefSeq and is a predicted model, not a curated record. The transcript is spliced from 4 exons.